GGGACAAGCCUUGGAAACGAGGUCUAAUACCGGAUAUGACUACUGACCGCAUGGUCGGUGGUGGAAAGCUCCGGCGGUGCAGGAUGAUCCCGCGGCCUAUCAGCUUGUUGGUGGGGUAAUGGCCUACCAAGGCGACGACGGGUAGCCGGCCUGAGAGGGCGACCGGCCACACUGGGACUGAGACACGGCCCAGACUCCUACGGGAGGCAGCAGUGGGGAAUAUUGCACAAUGGGCGAAAGCCUGAUGCAGCGACGCCGCGUGAGGGAUGACGGCCUUCGGGUUGUAAACCUCUUUCAGCAGGGAAGAAGCGAAAGUGACGGUACCUGCAGAAGAAGCGCCGGCUAACUACGUGCCAGCAGCCGCGGUAAUACGUAGGGCGCAAGCGUUGUCCGGAAUUAUUGGGCGUAAAGAGCUCGUAGGCGGCUUGUCGCGUCGGAUGUGAAAGCCCGGGGCUUAACCCCGGGUCUGCAUUCGAUACGGGCAGGCUAGAGUUCGGUAGGGGAGAUCGGAAUUCCUGGUGUAGCGGUGAAAUGCGCAGAUAUCAGGAGGAACACCGGUGGCGAAGGCGGAUCUCUGGGCCGAUACUGACGCUGAGGAGCGAAAGCGUGGGGAGCGAACAGGAUUAGAUACCCUGGUAGUCCACGCCGUAAACGUUGGGAACUAGGUGUGGGCGACAUUCCACGUCGUCCGUGCCGCAGCUAACGCAUUAAGUUCCCCGCCUGGGGAGUACGGCCGCAAGGCUAAAACUCAAAGGAAUUGACGGGGGGCCCGCACAAGCGGCGGAGCAUGUGGCUUAAUUUCGACGCAACGCGAAGAACCUUACCAAGGGCUUGACAUAUACCGGGAAACAUCUAGAGAUAGGGUGCCCCCUUUGGUGGUCGGGUAUACAGGUGGUGCAUGGCCUGUCGUCAGCUCGUGUCGUGAGAUGUUGGGGUUAGUCCC
Molecule: ribosomal RNA, 943 nt
Filed under: Streptomyces lilacinofulvus
Lineage: Bacteria; Bacillati; Actinomycetota; Actinomycetes; Kitasatosporales; Streptomycetaceae
Description: bacterial SSU rRNA
Rfam family: Bacterial small subunit ribosomal RNA
Source: RNAcentral